AUGGCGGCUGAGGCGCUGGUGAGUGUUUCCAAGGGGGUGAUGAACUCUGUGUUAGAGAAGCUGGCCACUUUGAGAGUACACCAAGCACAUGAAAUGCAGCGGGAGGUGGCGUUCCUCAAGGACGAGCUCAGCAGCAUGGACGCUGUCAUCAAGAAGCUCGAGAACAUGGAAGAGGAGCUCGAUCCACAGACCAGGGAGUGGAAGAACCAGGUGAUCGAUAUGGCGUUUCACAUUGAGGACUGCAUCAACGACUUCAUGCAUGAAUCUGGUGAGGAUUCUAACAAAGGAGAUGUUGGAUUUGUUGGCAAAAUUUCUCAGUACAUUAAGGCGUUGAGAGAACGUCACCAGUUUGCCAAACAAAUCCAACAGCUAAAGACAUGGGUCCAAGACGUGAGUGAGCGUCGGAAAAGGUAUAAGCUUGAUGAGUGUGCCCCAAGUUCUAGCUAUCUACCUGUAGAUCCUCGGGUGCCUGCCCUCUACACAGAGGCGGCCAACCUUGUUGGCAUGGAGGGUCCAAAAGAGGAUCUUAUCAAGUUGUUGGCGGCAAAGGAGGAAUUUGCAUCCGUACAACCUCUUAGAGUGGUGUCUAUUGUUGGGUUUGGGGGUCUAGGGAAAACCACACUUGCAAAUCAAGUAUACCAUGAGCUUGGAGGACAAUAUGACUGCAAGGUUUUGGUGUCCAUAUCACAAAGACCUAAUAUGAUGAAGCUUCUCGGUAGGAUCAUCAAAAAACUUGAGAUGCCACAACCAACCCGUACUGACGAGGCGCAAGAUCUCAUUCACAACAUCAGAGAAUAUCUAAGAGAAAAAAGGUACUUUUUCAUCAUUGAUGAUAUAUGGGACGAAUCAGUAUGGGAAAUUAUCCCUUGUGCAUUUCCAGAUAACCAACGAGGUAGCAAAGUAAUCACAAACACGAGAAUUGAGACAGUAGCUAAUGCAACCUGCAACUAUCGGCGUGAGUUCAUUUACAAGAUGAGUCCUCUUGAUGACCAAAACUCAAGAAAAUUAUUUUUCAGUAGAGUUGGACAGAUUGAUCUUGAACCAUUGGAAGAGAUUUCGAAUGAAAUUCUACAAAAAUGUGGUGGUCUCCCACUUGCCGUUGUCAGUAUUGCUAGUCUUUUGGCCAGUCAACCAACUAGAUCAGUGACACAAUGGAAACAUGUGUGCAGUUCUUUAAGCUCAAAUAUGAGAACAAAUCCAACUUUGGAGGGGAUGAGACUGGUACUGAACCUUAGCUACAACAAUCUUCCUCAUUGUCUCAAAACUUGUUUGCUAUAUAUUGCCAUGUACCCAGAGGAUUACAUUAUUAGAAAGAACGAUCUUGUAAGGCAAUGGGUGGCUGAAGGUUUCAUCCGCAAAAUACAUGGCGAGGAUGCAAAUGAAGUCGCUAGAAGUUGCUUUAAUGAGCUUGUCAAUCGGACCAUGAUCCAACCUACAACUAUUGGGUACAAUGGAGAGGUCAUAACAUGUAAAGUUCAUGAUAUGAUUCUUGAUCUAAUCAGAAUCAAGUCGGAAGAAGAGAACUUCCUUAGUGUGGUAGAUGACCUACAGGGCAUGACCGCAGCAACAUGA
RNAcentral lists this ribosomal RNA (1572 nucleotides) under Triticum aestivum (bread wheat). RNAcentral describes it as "partial small subunit ribosomal RNA". Lineage: Eukaryota; Viridiplantae; Streptophyta; Magnoliopsida; Poales; Poaceae. The record is from RNAcentral.